UGCGGUUAAAAAGCUCGUAGUUGGAUUUCUGUCGAAGACGGUCGGUCCGCUCUAUGAGCGUGUAUCUGAUUCGGCUUUGGCAUCCUCGUGGGGAACGUAACUGUGCUUGAUUGCAUGGUGCGGAAUUCACGACUUUUACUUUGAGGAAAUUAGAGUGUUCACGGCAGGCAAGCGCCUUGAAUACAUUAGCAUGGAAUAAUAAUAUAGGACUUUGGUUCUAUUUUGUUGGUUUCUAGGACUAAAGUAAUGAUUAAUAGGGAUAAUUGGGGGCACUUGUAUUAACGCGUCAGAGGUGGAAUUCUUGGAUUGCGUUACGACAAACUACUGCGAAAGCAUUUGCCAAGGAUGUUUUCAUUGAUCAAGAACGAAAGUAUGGGGAUCGAAGAUGAUUAGAUACCGUCGUAGUCUAUACCAUAAACUAUGCCGACUAGAGAUUGGAGGUCGUUCUUUUUAUGACUCCUUCAGCACCUUAUGAGAAAUCAAAGUCUUUGGGUUCCGGGGGGAGUAUGGUCGCAAGGCUGAAACUUAAAGGAAUUGACGGAAAGGCACCACCAGGAGUGGAGCCUGCGGCUUAAAUUUGACUCACCACGGGAAAACUCACCA
Molecule: ribosomal RNA, 603 nt
Filed under: uncultured marine eukaryote
Lineage: Eukaryota
Description: SSU rRNA
Rfam family: Eukaryotic small subunit ribosomal RNA
Source: RNAcentral